CCUUUUAAAGAAAUCAUAAAGAAAUAACAUAGAAAUUCAAAAAUAUACUAAAAUAAAAAUCUUAUUAAAAUUUUAAAAUAAAAACCUUAAUUAAAUCCUAAUCAAAUCCUAAUCAAAUCCUAAAUAAAUCAUAAUCAAAUCUUAACAAAUCCUAAUGAAAUCCUAAUGAAAUCCUAAACAAACCUUAACCAAAUCUUUGUCAAAUCCUAAACAAAUCUUAACCAAAUCCUAGUCAAAUCCUAACAAAUCUUAACCAAAUCCUAAUUAAAUCCUAAAUAAAUUCUAGUCAAAUCCUAAACAAAUCCUUAUCAUACCUCAA
This 319-nucleotide long non-coding RNA is filed under the name Physcomitrium patens. RNAcentral's name for it is "long non-coding RNA (PPAT_LNC001522)". Lineage: Eukaryota; Viridiplantae; Streptophyta; Bryopsida; Funariales; Funariaceae. The record is from RNAcentral.